Molecule: ribosomal RNA, 362 nt
Filed under: uncultured bacterium
Lineage: Bacteria
Description: bacterial SSU rRNA
Rfam family: Bacterial small subunit ribosomal RNA
Source: RNAcentral
GAGUUUGAUUCAUGGCUCAGGAUGAACGCUAGCUACAGGCUUAACACAUGCAAGUCGAGGGGAAACGGAACAUCGAAAGCUUGCUUUUGUAUGGUCGUCGACCGGCGCACGGGUGGAGUAACGCGUAUCCAACCUCGCCCACUCACUUGGGGAUAACCUUGCGAAAGUAAGACUAAUACCCAAUGAUAUCUCUAGAAGACAUCUGAAAGAGAUUAAAGAUUUAUCGGUGAUGGAUGGGGAUGCGUCUGAUUAGCUUGUUGGCGGGGUAACGGCCCACCAAGGCAACGAUCAGUAGGGGUUCUGAGAGGAAGGUCCCCCACAUUGGAACUGAGACACGGUCCAAACUCCUACGGGAGGCAGCA